RNAcentral lists this transfer RNA (76 nucleotides) under Cohnella lubricantis. Its description in RNAcentral is "tRNA-Ala(tgc)". It matches the Rfam family "tRNA". From Rfam's summary of the family: Transfer RNA (tRNA) molecules are approximately 80 nucleotides in length. Their secondary structure includes four short double-helical elements and three loops (D, anti-codon, and T loops). Further hydrogen bonds mediate the characteristic L-shaped molecular structure. tRNAs have two regions of fundamental functional importance: the anti-codon, which is responsible for specific mRNA codon recognition, and the 3' end, to which the tRNAs corresponding amino acid is attached (by aminoacyl-tRNA synthetases). tRNAs cope with the degeneracy of the genetic code in two manners: having more than one tRNA (with a specific anti-codon) for a particular amino acid; and 'wobble' base-pairing, i.e. permitting non-standard base-pairing at the 3rd anti-codon position. The record is from RNAcentral. Lineage: Bacteria; Bacillati; Bacillota; Bacilli; Caryophanales; Paenibacillaceae.
GGGGCCAUAGCUCAGCUGGGAGAGCACCUGCCUUGCAAGCAGGGGGUCAGCGGUUCGAUCCCGCUUGGCUCCACCA